This 3492-nucleotide long non-coding RNA is filed under the name Homo sapiens (human). RNAcentral's name for it is "HSALNT0026887". The record is from RNAcentral. Lineage: Eukaryota; Metazoa; Chordata; Mammalia; Primates; Hominidae.
GUUGGAAGCUGUACGCAGGUUUGCCUGAUGCAGAAGCCUAUAUUCCUUCCACUCCAUGAUGCUGAAACAGGUUUUCAUUCUUCCCUUUCUCCCAGGAACACCAGCCCCAUCUUUUCACCAUGGAGCUUCCAGAGCUGACUUUGAAGUAUAAAGAGAAAGACCGGAUGUUGGGCCACAGUAGAGGGCUUCCACCAAAGGAGGGGUCUGGGGGCAAAGCAGGCAAAGAGGCAAGCUCCAGGCAGGGGCUGCCAGCAAGCAGGCUUCUCUCGAUGGGUACAACAGUGCUGUAAAGCUGACAAACAGAGUUUGGCUUCACUUGAAGGUGUGAAAAGAACAGCCUGACUCUGAGAGGCAAGUCCGCCAAGCCCAGGACCCUAGGGCACCUGGUUCUCACCAUUGCCUGCAAUGCCGCAGCCACUUCCCAAGUCAGGAGGGCAGCUGAAGUCCUGCACUGGGGACAGUUGGGUCAGCUGUGUCUGUUAGACAUCCCCCGAUGACACAGAAUGCCUCUCUCCUCUGAGAGCAGGACAGUGUGUUUAGACAGUCCCUGGUAAAUGUGAGCAGCCAUGAGAAAGGCAGCCUUAAGUGGCUCAAAUUAACCUCUUCUAUGGAUACAGAGUUGAGCUCCAUCAUUCACUCCCCACGAGAGAAAGAUUGCUGUGGCCUUAAGCAGUGGAAGCAGAACUGUUAUUAUUAUUUUUAAGUUGAUGCAAAAAAGGACUUCUUUCUCCACUUUGAAUAUGUUGUCAUCUUGGGUGAGGCAAGAGGACCAUGUAAGGUGGUGACAAGCACUGUUGGCUUUUUUGGGAGAGCAUUGGCUGACUCCAUCCACUACUCUGGGGUGACAAGACGGGAAAAACCACGGUUUACCAGGCAGGUGUUGGGAUUAAGAUACACUUUCAUUUUCAAAGCACUUUGCAGUCAUUAACUAAGUGCUCACCCCUAAUUCUCUUCUAGGUUGAGCUUGGCCAUGGUCUCCCCAUGCUGUCUCCCUUGCCUCUUCUCUGAGUCUCAAGGAACAUGCUGUCACUGGCAGAUAUAAGAACAUCUUGUGCUUUAUAUAUAUUUUUAAACCUUACUGGGUUGCUUGUCUAACUCACCCCUCCAGUAGCUUAGUGAGAUUAAUGCCUCUUUCUAAACUGUGAUAACCAAGAGAUACUUUCCAGCAAAUGCGAAUGGGGCUUUAAAGUGCUGCGAGGCAGGAUGACAAGAUCUUGGGUGAGUUUCAGGUAUUACAAAGAACAUUUUGAUUUCCUUUUCAGAGGAAAUGUAGAAGGGCUUUAUCAGCGUAGGUAACACUAUAGAGCUGAGUGAAAUGUAAAUGAAAUUCCCAGUUUUCAUUUUCCCGCUUCAUUUGAUAUUUGUGGGUUUUAGAAGUAGGACCAGCUGGAUUCAUCUGCAGAAAAAGCCAUGUGGCUGCGGAGCUCCUUCCGUUGUUAAGAAGUGUGCCUUUGGGCUAAGGGGAAAUGUUCUGAAGGCAGAUCUGGAUGUGAAUUUUGGUUCAGAUAUUUAUUAACCGUGGGACCCUAGGCAAGCUGGUUUCUGAGCUUUGAUUUCCUCAUCUGUAAAAGGAGGAUAAUAAUGGAUACCUCAAAGAGUUAUAAAGAUCAGAAGUAAAAUACAUGCAAAGAAGUAGAGAGGGCUGUUUCAAGUCGCUUACUUUUAUUUUAACAUACAGCUGGUGGGCCAGGAGAGAGUGAAAACAAAGCCACUGGAUAGUGAGAGGAUAGAGGGUGCUCCACAGACGCGAACUGCAUCUUUAUGUUUACAUAGAAGGGAGAGUGAAGGAGCAAAUGUGGGCAACAGCUGUCAGUGACACAUCAUUACCCCAACAGCCAGAAACAAGAUAAGCGCCUUGCAGGGGCCCUUAACUGACUGCUGGGUUCGAUGGUUCAAAGAGAAAAAGCACGUGAUAACUUUGAAGGAGGCUGCCUGGCUGAGCUGAUCGGAUCACCUAGAGACUGGAAAUGCUUUCUGGUCUGAAGUCACCUGCCCUAUCUGGACAUUCCAUAGACUACCACUUUUACCCACGACUUCGAUGUGGCAUGCUCAUUGGACCAGAUAAGCAAGCAGUGGCAAGUGGAUUGGAGGUCUUGGUAACCAGUUCAACCAAAAUCCUGGGACAGCUGUUCCCUGAUGCGGCACACUUCCUAGAAGAAGCAAGUGAAUUUAAAGCAGAGUGAACUGUAGAGGAGUUCACGACCAAAUCUCUGAUGCUUUCCCCAGAUCUUUCUUCAGGGCCAACACAUCCAUUGCUCAGCUGUGAUAGACAGCAGUCAGGGGUGGCUCACCUCUCUCACUGGGAAUUGCUCUCAGCAGUAGGGAACUCAUUCAGGGUUAAGGCAUCUCCUUGAGGAGGCCCAUGUUCAAUUACUGGUUGACACAGGAAUAUGAAGGCCUGGCCCUCGUCUCAGCUUGGAAUAAAUCUGAAGGCCCAUCACAGCUUCAGAGAUGCUUGGAGAAGGCUGAGGUCUCCCCUGUAACCUUAUGAGAACCUUGAGUUGUUGAACUCAUUAAUUCUUUGGGACCAUCUUCCUGAUGUUCAAGUUUGUGAAACAGGCUUUCCCUUUAAGAUUUGUUUUCCUCAAAAUACAAGACUAUUGAUGCUUCAGUUUUGAAGUGGAUUCUGCACUCAAGAAAUGUACCAUUGAAGAAUGGGACUGGUAGGAAGGGAAAAAAACUAAAAGGAAACGCAUUUUCGAGUUGCACAUCAUGAUCAGGCACAGAGUCCAGAUACACUUGGAGUAGCAAGCAUCCAUCCUUGUGGAGACGCACAUGAACCAGGACUCUCUGCACCCACCCCUCUCAAGUUUUAUUUUCCGACGGCUGUAAUGUUCCAGGACACCUGCCAUCAUGGAGGGUUAUCCAGCACCUGGAGGAUACCUGCUACCUAUUUUGUGAACAAUUUGGCAUGAGGAGAGAAAGGAACCUGAAGUUUUUAGCAAGGAAGGAGGAAGACAAGGAGGAAGAGAAAGAAGAAAAAAAAGGAAAAAAAAAGGCAGACUUCAUAUGUCCCUCCCAACUCUUUUUUUAUCCACCUCUUAAAGGCCAAGGUUAUUUACUCAUAUUUUAGUAUUAUGUUUAAGCAAUAAAAAGGUGUUUUUAUUAAAGGGUCAGGUAAAUAGAAUUUUUAAAAUACCUAGGUCAGUAAAUGAGAUUUCAGUCAUUGUACAGGUGUCUUUGACUUCUGCACUUUCUAUAGUGAUGGCUGCACCAGCACAUUCAGAGGUGUUUGGCACAUGUUCUAGCCUCUGGACGCUCCGCUUCUUUUGAAUUGACUGAGGGAUGUGCACGGGUGGGAGGAGUCCCUGAUGUUGACACAGGUGUUGUCUUUCUGGAUCAGUGUUUUUUUUUUUUUUAAUCUAGAGUGUUUCUGAAAAGAAGAGGGAUUUCAUUCAUUGUGUACCUGUAGACUGUGUGUCAAUAUCUGUUUAUUAACUGCUUACUUUGGAUUUAGAGUUAAUCUUUGUAUUUACAUACAUUAGCUUAGGG